RNAcentral lists this transfer RNA (359 nucleotides) under Sphaerocavum brasiliense CCIBt3316. RNAcentral's name for it is "partial 16S-23S ribosomal RNA intergenic spacer". The stretch from base 135 to 208 matches the Rfam family "tRNA". Lineage: Bacteria; Bacillati; Cyanobacteriota; Cyanophyceae; Chroococcales; Microcystaceae. The record is from RNAcentral.
AAGGGAGACCUAAUUCCAGUAGGAGACGAAAAAAAAGUAGUCCCUACCAAGAAUCAAUCCCAAAAGGUCGGAGCGAGGCAAAAUUGGCUUUCAAACUAGGUUCUGGGUUCACACAAGACCUGAAUCAGGAACAAGGGCUAUUAGCUCAGGCGGUUAGAGCGCACCCCUGAUAAGGGUGAGGUCCCUGGUUCGAGUCCAGGAUGGCCCACCUGCACAGGUGGAAGAAAGAAAAGAAGCUCCGAAUCAGCACCUUAUCUUACUUAUAUAGUAAGAGAGAAUGCUGGCUCUGAGUACAGAGUCCAGAGGAACCUUGAAAACUGCAUAGAGCUAGGUGAAAAAGCCAAAAAAGAAGACCGCAA